This 443-nucleotide unclassified non-coding RNA is filed under the name Hevea brasiliensis (rubber tree). The record is from RNAcentral. Lineage: Eukaryota; Viridiplantae; Streptophyta; Magnoliopsida; Malpighiales; Euphorbiaceae.
CUUAAUUGCAAAAGUAUUUAAAUGAAAAAAUAGAAAAAGCAUUCAUUCUGUUAUCAUCAUAUCAUAUACAAAAUUCUACCAAAAUUUAGCGAUAGUGACCUCAUUGAAACUAAAUUAAAAAUUAUUUUUAUUGAUAAAAUUUGAAGUUUAUUGACUGCUAAAACUAGAGAUAAAUUCAAGGACCAUGGGUGAAAUUAAGCCCUUGAAAUUAUUUUGAUGGUCUCACAUGCACUGAACUGACUUAAAAUUAGAGAUAGUUUAACUCAUGUUUUCAUGAAUCAAACCAAACCCUAAGCAAACAAUUCAAACCCGUAAAUGUAUCAUUCAUCAAAGUAAUCCACCACAAAAAUAUACACUAUCCAGUUUAUCAAAUAUCACAAACCUUGUUUGCCACCACAAAAAUAUACACUAUCCAGUUUAUCAAAUAUCACAAACCUUGUUUG